AAAAUAAUGUGCUAAAAUCCGAAGAAUCAUGAGGUGGUGUUUUACAGGUGGUGUCUUCGUCUAUCCCUACAGCGGCAGGGAGGGGUACAGAGAGGGCAUGGAAAGCCCACCUGAUUAACACGUGGCUCAGAGGCUGGUGCCAACACAGAAAUUUUGGGUUUUUUGACCAUGUGCUUUACUCGGCACCCAGCCUGGUGGCCACAGACGGGUCCCACCUAUCUCUAAGGGGAAAACGGAUCCUAGCCCAGGAGCUGGCAGGGCUCAUUGAGAGGGCUUUAAACUAGGUAAGAAGGGGGACGGGGCUGAAAUAAGGCUUGUUGGAGCUGUGCCAGGGGGAACAAUGGCAAGGCCGGGAGAGAAGGAAAUGGCCCAAAUGAAGUGCAUCUACACUAAUGCAUGCAGCAUGGGUAACAAACAAGAGGAGCUGGAAGCCAUCGUGCAGCAGGCAGGCUAUGACUUGGUUGCCAUCACAGAAACGUGGUGGGACCACUCUCAUGACUGGAGUGCUGCAAUGUCUGGCUAUAGGCUUUUCAGAAGUGACAGGCAGCACAGAAGGGGUGGUGGUGUGGCUCUCUAUAUUAGAGAGUGUUUUGAUGUUGUGGAACUUGAGGCCGGGAAUGAUAAGGUUGAGUCCCUAUGGGUUAGGAUCAGCAGGAAGGCCAACAAGGCAAGCAUCCUGGUGGGGGUCUGUUAUAGACCGCCGAACCAGGAUGAGGAGACUGAUGAGAAGUUCUACAGGCAGCUGGCAGAAGUUGUGAAAUCGUCAGCGCUCAUUCUUGUGGGGGACUUCAACUUCCCAGACAUAUCCUGGAAGAACAACACAGCCCAGAGAAAGCAGUCUAGGAGGUUUCUGGAGAGCGUGGAAGAUAGCUUCCUGAUGCAGCUGGUUAGUGAGCCUACCAGGGGAGGUGCCCUGCUAAACCUUCUGUUCACAAACAGUGACGGACUGGUGGGAGAUGUGGUGGUCAGGAGCUAUCUUGGGCAGAGUGACCACAAAAUGCUAGAGUUCUCUAUUCUUGGCGAAGUCAGGAAGGCAACCAGUAAAACUGCUGUAUUGGACUUCCGGAGGGCUGACUUUGAGCUGUUCAGGACACUGGUUGGCAGAGUCCCUUGGGAGGUGGUUCUGAAGGGCAGAGGAGUCCAGGAAGGCUGGGCACUCUUCAAGAAGGAAAUCUUAAUGGCUCAGGAGCGAUCUGUCCCCACAUGCCCAAAGACGA
Anser brachyrhynchus (Pink-footed goose) is the source of this 1217-nucleotide long non-coding RNA. The record is from Ensembl. Lineage: Eukaryota; Metazoa; Chordata; Aves; Anseriformes; Anatidae.